CAUUUAGAGGAAGUAAAAGUCGUAACAAGGUUUCCGUAGGUGAACCUGCGGAAGGAUCAUUAUCGUACAGCGGGAGGCCCGAGGCUGUCGGCUGACCCUCGGGGUCGUGCACGCCCUGGGUGUCCUCUCCAUCUCACCCUUGUGCAUCACCGCGUGGGCUUCGAAAGGGGGUUCGCGCCUUUCACACAGACACCCUUUUUAUGCUGUAUAGAAUGUCUUUACCUUUUGCGAUCACACGCAAUCAAUACAACUUUCAACAACGGAUCUCUUGGCUCUCGCAUCGAUGAAGAACGCAGCGAAAUGCGAUACGUAAUGUGAAUUGCAGAAUUCAGUGAAUCAUCGAAUCUUUGAACGCACCUUGCGCCCCUUGGCAUUCCGAGGGGCACACCCGUUUGAGUGUCGUGAAAUCCUCAACCUUCUCCGUUUGUUGAAUCGGGAAAGGCUUGGACCUUGGAGGCUUUUGCUGGCCCUUCAGCCGGCUCCUCUUAAACGAAUUAGCGGGGUUCCCUUUGCCGAUCCUCGACGUGAUAAGCCAUUUCUACGUCCGGAAAGGAGAGACCUGCUCCUAAUAGUCUCGUUGAGACCCUCUCUUGACCUCAAAUCGGGUGAGACUACCCGCUGAACUUAAGCAUAUCAAUAAGCGGAGGAAAAGAAACUAACAAGGAUUCCCCUAGUAACUGCGAGUGAAGCGGGAAAAGCUCAAAUUUAAA
This 710-nucleotide small RNA is filed under the name Lactifluus densifolius. Its description in RNAcentral is "eukaryotic LSU rRNA". The stretch from base 249 to 402 matches the Rfam family "5.8S ribosomal RNA". The record is from RNAcentral. Lineage: Eukaryota; Fungi; Basidiomycota; Agaricomycetes; Russulales; Russulaceae.